Molecule: long non-coding RNA, 1074 nt
Filed under: Oryctolagus cuniculus (rabbit)
Lineage: Eukaryota; Metazoa; Chordata; Mammalia; Lagomorpha; Leporidae
Description: lncRNA (ENSOCUG00000032032.1)
Source: RNAcentral
GUUACUGUGCUGGGCAUGAGAAACGCACUGUGUCUGUGUCCUGAUUUCUUGCCUUGGAGCAUUGGAUCGUGCAGUUAAUCUGGAAAACAUUUCAGAUAUCCUCAUAUACGAAUGGGGAUGGUGUGGGAAGGACCUUGUUUUGUUUGGGUAUUAAUUUGAAAGUUUUGUUGUUUUAAAAUUUAAGUUCAAUCUACUCUGGUUAUAUGAAGGUGACUCUUGUUAGGGUAACCAAAGGCACUGCUUUGGGCCUGAAAAGAUUGAUCUACUUAUCUUCUGCAAGAGAUUUAUUGGGGGAAAAAAAAAACUAAAAGCAAGCGAGGAAAUGAUAAGGAAAUAAGCAAUGACUCGGCUUGAGAUGAAGCCCACAGGAAGCUCUGUAGGGACUGUAGGGCUCAUGUCACCUUUGAGCUUUUUGGAUGCCCCAGUGACAUGCAGGAGGUACGUGGCCUCUCAGGCAGUGGCUGGCUAGACAACUCCUGCGAGUGGAGGAUGGUACCCGAGAGAGGGGGCAGCUGGGAGCCUCCAGCAGCCCGUCUCCAGUGCAGCCAGGGGAAGGUGCAGCAGUGUCCACAGUGGGCCCCAAGGAAGCUGGGGAGAGAGACAGAGAAAAAGGUUUUCAGUACGAAGCUCUCUUUAAUAUCCGGCCAGGAUAGCAAGGGGACAGGAUGUUUCCUGGCUAAGCUCUCUCGAGUCCACCAUAAUUGGGUUUUAUGACAUUGUGUUGAGUGGCGGUUCCCACCGCGGCAGCCUUUUCCUAACAUGGUGGUGCACAGGCUCUCUGAUUUUAUUCCUGCUCACCUCUGCAGCCUCAUCUCCAUCCCGCGCUGGACUCGUAGAUCAUGUCCUGGCCACAUUAGACUUUUUGUCAUAUUCCACCCCCAACACCCUCCAUAGAGGAUGUUAAAACGUUAAGAAUAGUUCUUUAAGUCCUUUUUAUUGCUAUGUUCUCUGUCAAAAAUGUUCUCUCUCGUUGCUAACUCCUUUUCUUCUAUUAACAAUCUGCAGUCACUGCCUCCAAGAAGCCUCCUCUAACUCCUUUCUUGACUCCCCCACCCCCACCCCCAGGCUGGGUUA